RNAcentral lists this ribosomal RNA (277 nucleotides) under uncultured bacterium. Its description in RNAcentral is "partial 16S ribosomal RNA". It matches the Rfam family "Bacterial small subunit ribosomal RNA", at positions 28 to 296 of the family's 1533-position model. The record is from RNAcentral.
GACGAACGCUGGCGGCGUGCUUUAGGCAUGCAAGUCGAACGCGAAAGCCCCUUCGAGGGUGAGUAGAGUGGCGAACGGGUGAGUAACACGUGGGUAACCUACCCCUCGCAGGGGGAUAACCGGGGGAAACCUCGGCUAAUACCCCGUACGCUUGUCGGGGCGCAUGCUCUGACAAGGAAAGGUAGCUUCGGCCAUCCGGCGAGGGAUGGGCCCGCGCCCCAUUAGCUAGUUGGUGAGGUAACGGCUCACCAAGGCGACGAUGGGUAGCUGGCGUGAG